Molecule: ribosomal RNA, 519 nt
Filed under: Fusarium sp. SLP 015
Lineage: Eukaryota; Fungi; Ascomycota; Sordariomycetes; Hypocreales; Nectriaceae
Description: eukaryotic LSU rRNA
Rfam family: 5.8S ribosomal RNA (bases 152-305)
Source: RNAcentral
UACCGAGUUUACAACUCCCAAACCCCUGUGAACAUACCUAUACGUUGCCUCGGCGGAUCAGCCCGCGCCCCGUAAAACGGGACGGCCCGCCCGAGGACCCCUAAACUCUGUUUUUAGUGGAACUUCUGAGUAAAACAAACAAAUAAAUCAAAACUUUCAACAACGGAUCUCUUGGUUCUGGCAUCGAUGAAGAACGCAGCAAAAUGCGAUAAGUAAUGUGAAUUGCAGAAUUCAGUGAAUCAUCGAAUCUUUGAACGCACAUUGCGCCCGCCAGUAUUCUGGCGGGCAUGCCUGUUCGAGCGUCAUUUCAACCCUCAAGCUCAGCUUGGUGUUGGGACUCGCGGUAACCCGCGUUCCCCAAAUCGAUUGGCGGUCACGUCGAGCUUCCAUAGCGUAGUAAUCAUACACCUCGUUACUGGUAAUCGUCGCGGCCACGCCGUAAAACCCCAACUUCUGAAUGUUGACCUCGGAUCAGGUAGGAAUACCCGCUGAACUUAAGCAUAUCAAUAAGCGGAGGAA